GACGAACGCUGGCGGCGUGCUUAACACAUGCAAGUCGAACGAAGAGCGAUGGAAGCUUGCUUCUAUCAAUCUUAGUGGCGCACGGGUGAGUAACGCGUAAUCAACCUGCCCUUCAGAGGGGGACAACAGUUGGAAACGACUGCUAAUACCGCAUACGAUCUAACCUCGGCAUCGAGGAUAGAUGAAAGGUGGCCUCUACAUGUAAGCUAUCACUGAAGGAGGGGAUUGCGUCUGAUUAGCUAGUUGGAGGGGUAACGGCCCACCAAGGCGAUGAUCAGUAGCCGGUCUGAGAGGAUGAACGGCCACAUUGGGACUGAGACACGGCCCAGACUCCUACGGGAGGCAGCAGUGGGGAAUCUUCCGCAAUGGACGAAAGUCUGACGGAGCAACGCCGCGUGAGGGAUGACGGCCUUCGGGUUGUAAAGCUCUGUUAAUCGGGACGAAAGGCCUUCUUGCGAAUAGUGAGAAGGAUUGACGGUACCGGAAGAGAAAGCCACGGCUAACUACGUG
RNAcentral lists this ribosomal RNA (510 nucleotides) under uncultured bacterium. RNAcentral describes it as "partial 16S ribosomal RNA". It matches the Rfam family "Bacterial small subunit ribosomal RNA", at positions 28 to 507 of the family's 1533-position model. The record is from RNAcentral.